Molecule: ribosomal RNA, 470 nt
Filed under: uncultured bacterium
Lineage: Bacteria
Description: partial 16S ribosomal RNA
Rfam family: Bacterial small subunit ribosomal RNA
Source: RNAcentral
GGACGAACGCUGGCGGCGUGCUUAACACAUGCAAGUCGAACGGAAAGGCCCUGCUUGCAGGGUGCUCGAGUGGCGAACGGGUGAGUAACACGUGGGUGAUCUGCCCCUUAUUUUGGGAUAAGCCUGGGAAACUGGGUCUAAUACUGGAUAGGACCAUGCUGUAGGUGGUGUGGUGGAAAGAUUAGUUUCGGUAAGGGAUGAGCUCGCGGCCUAUCAGCUUGUUGGUGGGGUAAUGGCCUACCAAGGCGUCGACGGGUAGCCGGCCUGAGAGGGUGGACGGCCACAUUGGGACUGAGAUACGGCCCAGACUCCUACGGGAGGCAGCAGUGGGGAAUAUUGCACAAUGGGCGCAAGCCUGAUGCAGCGACGCCGCGUGGGGGAUGACGGCCUUCGGGUUGUAAACUCCUUUCAGCCAUGACGAAGCCCUUGUGGUGACGGUAGUGGUAGAAGAAGCACCGGCUAACUACGUG